Rhinolophus ferrumequinum (greater horseshoe bat) is the source of this 1004-nucleotide long non-coding RNA. RefSeq lists it as uncharacterized. The record is from RefSeq and is a predicted model, not a curated record. NCBI's taxonomy places the organism in Eukaryota, Metazoa, Chordata, Mammalia, Chiroptera, Rhinolophidae. The transcript has 4 exons.
CAACACUUGUGUUUUGAAAACCAUCCAAGCUGUUAUGUGGUGUGAAAGUGGACAAGGAGAGGCUGUUUUAGUUACCCAGGCGGCAAGAACAGCUCCCAAGAUUACAGCCAUGACAGCAGUUUUAUAUGCAAUGACGCUGGGUCUGGUGUGUAGGGAGGAUCAAAGGUCACCAGCAUCACCGACGGUGGGACAAGAUAAACCCCUUGGCAUGAAACACCAGAGCACUGCCAGUUCUCCAGAAUCGUUCCUCACCACAACCGCAAAUUUAUUUUAGACACCAUCUCCACCAGGAAGCCUACUUUAAAGCCAGGCAGUUCCAAACUCCACGAAGGCACACACGCUCGAGGCUCCGGACUGCGCUGCGCACCUCCCCAUCACAGAGCUCAUCAUACGAUGUUGUAACCAUCGGCCUCGUCUUAGAAACACUUCUGGACUGUAACCUGCCUGAGGGCAGAGACUGUGUCCUUUGUGUGUGAACUCCCAGAAUCCAGUACCUGAAUCCUGGCGUACAGUGGGUGCUCAAUGACAGUUUACUGAAUGAACACGAGCAAAUAGUAUGAAAUACAAUUAAUUCAAUGGUAAUUAUUAGAACAAUGAGACAUAAGCCUUUGAAUCUCAAAGAAUAUCAAGUCAUGCUUUGAUUCAGUCUGAAGAAUGAUACUUACAUACUAUUUUCAGCAAUCUGCAAUUACACACCUGUUCUCAUUCUAACACCCCGCAAAAUCUUACCUAUAAACUCGUGUUAGAGUAUAAUUGAUGGAGAAUGAGCAGUUCUUUGCAGGGCACUUUAGCAAGUACAUGGAAAAUAGCACCCUAGCAACUACACAAAUAAAUAUCGGGAGUCAUAUUUACCAUGUGACAGCAAACUUGGAAUGUUUCAAGUAGUUAAAGAAAUUAGAAGGUUUAGUACCUUUGAAUCCACCCAAGUACCAGAGUCAGGCUAACUUCUGUGAGCUUCUCGUCUGGGGGGAAACCCCAAAAGUCUCCACUUAUGUGAAGCUCUU